RNAcentral lists this ribosomal RNA (382 nucleotides) under uncultured bacterium. RNAcentral's name for it is "bacterial SSU rRNA". It matches the Rfam family "Bacterial small subunit ribosomal RNA", at positions 29 to 402 of the family's 1533-position model. The record is from RNAcentral.
AACGAACGCUGGCGGCGCGCCUAACACAUGCAAGUCGAACGAGAAGGCGUAGCAAUACGCUUGUAGAGUGGCGAACGGGUGAGUAAUACGUGGGUGACCUACCCUCGAGUGGGGAAUAACCCGCCGAAAGGCGGGCUAAUGCCGCGUACGCUUCCGUCCUCACGGGGACGGAAGGAAGGCUGUACCGUGGGUACGGCGCUCAAGGAUGGGCUCACGUCCUAUCAGCUUGUUGGUAGGGUAACGGCCACCAAGGCUACGACGGGUAGCUGGUCUGAGAGGACGAUCAGCCACACUGGCACUGCGACACGGGCCAGACUCCUACGGGAGGCAGCAGUGAGGAAUAUUGCGCAAUGGGCGAAAGCCUGACGCAGCGACGCCGCGU